GCAAUAUUUUAAGCUGAGGAACUCUACCUAAUUGAGGAACUCUACUGUGACAUCCAGUCAUAAAAGUUUAACAUAUUUACCAUUGACAGCACAGUGGCAUGUGAAACUAUUAACUGACCUGGUAACUUGACAGGUAAAAAGUCACUGUCCAAAUGCCUAGUGUAUACAGGGUGCUAAAAGACGUACGUAUGAAAUAAAGUUUGGCAAAGAUGAUGAAGGAUUUGUGCACUGAUGCAUAUAAGAGUAUUUAAGAAAGUCUGGUGAGCUUUGUAAUGAGUUUUCCUUUCUUUUUGUAUAAACAAUACUGAGAGAUGAGACCUAGCCUAUUUUCUGCUAAAAGUCUUCCACCUCUUGCUCCUUUAUACUUGAUCACUUGUAUUCAACUUUUAAAGUAGUUUACUCACAAACAUUUUGUUAAAAGUGUAUUGGUGAAAAACAGUGAAAAAUUAUUUUAAAAGAACAUUAUUGGAAAAUCAAGUACUCAAAACAUUUAGUGUAUGCUAGAAGGAAGGUUAUCAAAUUGCGGUGAAAAUGAAGUGUGAGGUAAUCUUUAAUUACAUGACCACAAUCUUUCCUUCCUCCCUCCUUCCCCCCUGAAAUCAUAACUACCACAUUUCCUCCAAAUAAGACAUAUACCUUGUUUUGAGAAUACAGAAGGAAGAAAAUAUAUUUUCCAGAGUCAUGGCCAAAUGAGGUUUUGUAAAGAAGGGACAGAGUCUGCUUUUCAGUAACACUCACUCUGUCCCUGAAAACUCCCCUGCUCAGCCAAAAUUUCCUGCCAAAUUGGCAGUGGCUGUGAUGGGGUUAAAAGGGUUUUUAGCAUAAGCUAAAAUACAUUCAUUUGUAAUUUGAGCCCAGCUCAGAAUGUUUUACAUUAGGAGUUACUUGCAUUAAAAAUGCAGCAGGAUCUUUUUUUUUUUUUUUUUUUUUUUUAUGAAAGGAAAACUCUUCUAAGUUUUAUUCUGAGCAUCAAUUUGAUGUUGUCAGCAAAGAUCUGCAAAAUUUAAGAUGACGGAGCAUCUAUGUGACUUGUUUAGUCUUUAGAUGACAUUUCUAGUAUAUGGGCCUGGGAACUGAAAGAUUUUGUUCUUUUGGAUUCUGCCACGAACUUGCAACCAAUUGCUAUUUCUCCUUGCUCAUUGAACAAAAAGGUAUUUGGAGCCAUAUAGAAUCAUAUCUUUUGGGGCUUAGUCCUGAAUGCUGUUGAAAGAAGAUUGGAGAACCAAUGGGUUAGUUCUACCCAAAUGGAAACUCUAGACACCAAAACAUGUAUUUGGGAUCCAGAUUUUAAGUCACAACGAGCAUUGUUGAGCCUUCAUUUAUAUGUGCCGAUCCAAUAUUUGCACUCAGUACUGUUUACUUAGGCACACUUACCUGUUUGCCAGUACAAUUUGGAAAGUUUAUGUAUAGAAGCACUUUUGUUAACAUUUUAAAAACUUCGUGUUCAUUAAUCCAUUGCUUUCACCUGUUUUGUGUAGAUGAAUACGCAUCAUUGUCAUUAUGCAAAAAUGAGAGAGACUGAACCCAAGAAAAGGGAAGUGACUUGCCCCAGUACACUCAUCAAUUAUGAAUAUGAUUGCCAGUCCCACUUCAUACUAUUAUCAGGAAAAAAACCAAAUCAAACCUAUGCCUGCUUCCAGAUAAUCACCCUUUUGCUUCAAAGUUUGGGACUAGUUAUACAUUUGAUACGGUGACUGUAUAAUGCAACCAGAUUAACCACCUUCUCUUCCCCGCCCCCAAUCUUUUUAAAAGAAGAUCGUAUUCAGGUUUUUUGUUUUAAAAGGGAUAGACUCCCAUGUUCAGGAGAAGAUACCAUGUUGUUGAUCCCAAGCACAGGAAAAUCACUAUUUGCAGUCCUUAAUAAGGCCUCUAAGCCUCAGAAAAAGCUUAAGAUACACUCUUAUUUUCAGCAUUUUCCAGUUGGCUAGUUCUAGGUAACUUCUAACUCAGGGUAAUGGUUCUUGUGAAUCCAUUUCUUAGAUGCCUAACUCUGUCUUCACUCACUCUGUGUGGAGUGUAAGCACCUAAUGUUUUCUGAAUUCAGCUCUUGGAGACCAGGUUUGUUAGCACAUGUGAUGAUAAGAAUUGACUCAUUAUAGACACUUUGAUUUGAUUCAGCCCAACUUUCUCAUAAAAAAAAAAUUCCCAGUGAGCUGACCAUCUUUACUUGUGUAGAGCUGUUGGAAAUCAUUGACAGUCCACACCACUUCUGGUUAUUUAUUCUUGUAUGUGGAGUCACUCCAUAUUUAUAUGUCGGCUACAGAUAAGAGAGAACACGGGGAUGUAGGAGAAGAUCAGAAGAGGAGUAUAAGCAGAGACCCACUUCUCUCAGUGAGCACAAGGUACUGGUCGUGACUGCGGAUACAGAAGUCACUACAAGCCCUGUGGUGAUACUAUAUCUUCUGCUAGAAAUUAUAUUGCUAUAAGAGAAGAGUAAGACAAAUAAAAAGACUAAUGAUCUUCUUGGCCUGAAAAACUGUAAACCUAGGCAGAGCUUGCUGAAGAUGCUAAAAUUUCCUUCCAGAAAACAUCUGGAAGAUUGGAAUAUCGGAAGAUGCUGGCAACAGACAGACUCUAUUUCCUUUAAAAAUGUUCCAUCAUGCCAUGAGCUGUAAACUGUUUUAAAGAAAAUAAUAUCAAGAGUUGCCAUGAGUUGUAGAAUAAAUAUAUUUAAAUCAUGCAGUUUUCUUUAUAUAUUUUUUUUUCUGAAAAUAUAAAGAAGCUCUUUUAUAUAGCAGGAACUUGAAAUGCACAUCAAGAUGGAAUGAUUUUUCUUCAAAAAGCAUGAUAAUAGUUAGUGACCUGAAGGAGUUGACUUGGUGCAGAAAUUGGCCUUCAUUUCUAGUAGCAAAUGUACUGAUAAUAAAAAUAUUUUGUAUAGAAGUAUUUUGCAUAUGUUUUUUAUGUGCAAGUUACUUGGAGCUAAAUUAAAAUAUGAUCUACAUCCAUGUACACUUCUUUCCCAGGGUACUUUACAUACUCUAGACUUAAUUAGGAUCUUAUUGUCAUUUGUUUUUUAUACCAGUGUAACUCCAUUGAUUUAAUAACUACUCCUGACUUAAACUGGUAUAAAUAAGAAGAGAAUUAAACAGUAGAUCUACUGGGUUUAGAUCACCCACCACUGAAAUGCAGUCUCUUGAAAAACAGCAUACUGUAACAGCAAAUAAUAGAAAGUGUGAAAUGCAUUUUAAAGAGUUUGCAACACCCCUAAGUUGUGAUGCUAGUUUAUGGACCUAUUUUUAAGGAGUUGUAGUUGAAAUGAAGUCAUGCCAAGAAUUUUAGACAUUUGUAAGAUACCAGUCAAUCUGGAGGACUGUGUAAAGGAGUAAUUCUUUGAGAAUGAAGGCCACAUAAUAAAGUAUAGGGGCCCAGAAAAUCCGUUAGAUUCUAUUGGGAAGAGUCCAUAGAGAGCUGUAAAUAAUUGGAAAGCAUUUAACCAAGAAGCAAUAGAAUAAGUAAAAUAGGAGGCAAAUUGUUCUGUAAUGUAUUGGCAGAGUAAAUAGCUGGAAAAUUUCUACCAGGUAACUUUUUAUAGCAUGUAAGUUUAGGCUAUUACUUUACCUAGUUUGUAAUAUUCCACCUUACAUUAUGGAGUUUGUAAUGUAGUUUGGUUUUUUUUUUAAUUUUUUUUUUUUGUAAUUAAU
Long non-coding RNA from Gavialis gangeticus (Gharial), 3644 nucleotides. RefSeq lists it as uncharacterized. The record is from RefSeq and is a predicted model, not a curated record. Lineage: Eukaryota; Metazoa; Chordata; Crocodylia; Gavialidae. The transcript has 3 exons.